UCCGAGUUGACCCCGGCAGUCUCCCAUGAGUCCCCGCCAUAACGCGCUGGCAACAUGGAACGAGGGUUGCGCUCGUUGCGGGACUUAACCCAACAUCUCACGACACGAGCUGACGACAGCCAUGCACCACCUGUGAACCAGCCACAAGGGAGGCCCUAUCUCUAGAGCUUUCUAGUCCAUGUCAAGCCCAGGUAAGGUUCUUCGCGUUGCAUCGAAUUAAUCCACAUGCUCCGCCGCUUGUGCGGGCCCCCGUCAAUUUCUUUGAGUUUUAACCUUGCGGCCGUACUCCCCAGGCGGAUGACUUAAUGCGUUAGCUGCGCCACCGAAGGCCGAAGGCCCCCGACAGCUAGUCAUCAUCGUUUACGGCUGGGACUAC
Molecule: unclassified non-coding RNA, 376 nt
Filed under: uncultured Actinomycetes bacterium
Lineage: Bacteria; Bacillati; Actinomycetota; Actinomycetes
Description: uncultured actinobacterium contains 16S-23S intergenic spacer region
Source: RNAcentral